ACACCCUCAAGCACAGCUUGGUGUUGGGCGUCUGUCCUCCGGGACUCGCCUCAAAAGGAUUGGCAGCCACUUCAGCGGCUUAGAGCGCAGCAGAAUUGCGACCUCUGGCAGUCGAAGGCGGCAUCCAUAAGUCUUUACUUUUUAGU
RNAcentral lists this unclassified non-coding RNA (146 nucleotides) under uncultured Lophiostoma. Its description in RNAcentral is "sequence contains ITS2". Lineage: Eukaryota; Fungi; Ascomycota; Dothideomycetes; Pleosporales; Lophiostomataceae. The record is from RNAcentral.